UCCACCCCCAUAGACUUGCUCACAUAGUCAUCUACCUGUAUAUUUGGGAGUAUAUACCCAUAUAUUGAAGUAUGUAUAAGUAGACAUAACCUUGUGAGUGUUGUUGGAGUUUGUAACACAACCAGGUUUCAAGUGCCAAAAGCCAUUCGGGUGUGUAUGAAAAAGUUUGUAACGUAAAUGACGGUGGAAUACAGGAACCUCGAAUGAGCAUAAGUUGGUUUAACUAAGCAUUAGCAUUAGCGCACAGUUUUAUUCAGCCUCCAGAGGUGGAUCCUUUUGGUGCAAACACAUCAGCACCACCAAAGACACGUGUGUAGCCUCACUCUUGCAUGUCAAAUUACUAUCAUAUCUGUAAUUUUUUCCCCACAUAGUUCCAAUUCAAUUUAAAUCUUACCAAAGUGCAAUAUUUAUUGUAAUUUUAACUCCAACUACUCUAUGUUGUCUUCUUGCUUCAGUCCCUCUCCUUUAUAACAGUCCCUAGGUGCUCUUCCAUAUUCACCAACUUGACUCUGAUCAAUAUUAGCUCUUCUUCAUAAGUCCUGUUUUUGCAUCAAGGUUCUCUGAUUUGAUUCGUAUACUAAGAAUCUCAAGAAUUUCCACAUGUCAUCACGGCCACCGCCACCUCCACCAGGACCCCAAAAACCACUUGACGACUUCAAUCUGCCCUCUAAACGCCAAAGGUUCGAUCACAAGCAGAGCACUAAUGACCUUAACCAAGGGGACAACUUGCCACAAUCAUCAUUGUCAUCAAAGAAGCAACCUUUCUGUGGCAACACUACUGCUUCAGGACAAUCAACUCUAAAGAAAUCUUAUAUCCUUGAUUGGUUGCAUGGAAGAUUGCCAGAACCCCCUACAGGAAAAACUUCAAGUGAAUCAUCUCCUAAGCCUGAUCUGAACACCACCGACUCUAGCUCAAAUGUGUAACUUGGACAUUAAUCUUUUUCUUCAGCAACUUUGUCUUCAGUGGUUAUUUAUCUGCUAUAAAGUUUUUGUGAAAUAAUGUAGUGUGGUCUUCACACCACAUGAACUAGUUUUUAUGGGGAACAAGGACCUAUACUUUUAAGAAUAAAACUUUUUUGUCGAUGUCCAAUAGUUUAAGAAUAUUAACAAGCCUCAACUUUUGGAAUUUCC
Molecule: long non-coding RNA, 1131 nt
Organism: Coffea arabica (coffee)
Lineage: Eukaryota; Viridiplantae; Streptophyta; Magnoliopsida; Gentianales; Rubiaceae
Source: RefSeq, a predicted model, not a curated record